This 176-nucleotide ribosomal RNA is filed under the name Schistosoma japonicum. RNAcentral's name for it is "5.8S ribosomal RNA". The stretch from base 21 to 173 matches the Rfam family "5.8S ribosomal RNA". From Rfam's summary of the family: 5.8S ribosomal RNA (5.8S rRNA) is a component of the large subunit of the eukaryotic ribosome. It is transcribed by RNA polymerase I as part of the 45S precursor that also contains 18S and 28S rRNA. Lineage: Eukaryota; Metazoa; Platyhelminthes; Trematoda; Strigeidida; Schistosomatidae. The record is from RNAcentral.
GUAUAGAGUUAUUGGCGUACAACUUUGAGCGGUGGAUCACUCGGCUCGUGUGUCGAUGAAGAGUGCAGCCAACUGUGUGAAUUAAUGUGAACUGCAUACUGCUUUGAACAUCGACAUCUUGAACGCAUAUUGCGGCUACGGGAUAUCCUGUGGCCACGCCUGUCCGAGGGUCGGCU